Molecule: ribosomal RNA, 253 nt
Filed under: uncultured bacterium
Lineage: Bacteria
Description: partial 16S ribosomal RNA
Rfam family: Bacterial small subunit ribosomal RNA
Source: RNAcentral
UACGUAGGGACCAAGCGUUGUUCGGAUUUACUGGGCGUAAAGGGCGCGUAGGCGGCGCGACAAGUUACUUGUGAAAUCUCUGGGCUUAACUCAGAACGGCCAAGUGAAACUGUUGUGCUAGAGUGCAGAAGGGGCAAUCGGAAUUCUCGGUGUAGCGGUGAAAUGCGUAGAUAUCGAGAGGAACACCAGAGGUGAAGACGGGUUGCUGGGCUGACACUGACGCUGAGGCGCGAAAGCCAGGGGAGCAAACGGG